RNAcentral lists this ribosomal RNA (1106 nucleotides) under Brachionus manjavacas. RNAcentral describes it as "16S ribosomal RNA". The stretch from base 754 to 1050 matches the Rfam family "Archaeal large subunit ribosomal RNA", at positions 2155 to 2712 of the family's 2987-position model. The record is from RNAcentral. Lineage: Eukaryota; Metazoa; Rotifera; Eurotatoria; Ploima; Brachionidae.
UACAUUUAUAUAGAUGGUUUAUACUAGUAAUAAAAAGAAAGUGCUUUGAGUUAAUAUUUUUAUAAAUUUACUGAAAGUAAUUAAAAGUGCCUUACAGUUACCUUUUGUAUCAUGAUCAUACGAGAAAUGUUCUAUGAGUUAUAUUUCCCGAAACUAAGAGAUCUACUCUUUAACCUGGGCUAUUGUAGCAAUAAUAGCUCCAAUAAAUAGUAGUUAUGAAAAUUUAGCCGAUCUUAGUUAUACCUGGUUUCACUCUCAAUUAUAUUAAAUAAUAAUCAUGCUGUGGUUAAUAUAUUACUUGGUUAAGCUAAGUAAACUAAAGUUGAAUUACCCAAAUAAUAAAGAACUAGAUUUAAAAGUAAUCUUUAGUUAGUGUCAUUAUAGCUACCUAUUCUAUUUAUCUUAAUCUUUUUAAUUAACUUUUAAUAGAGUGAAUUUUGGUUUAAUUAUUAUCCUAAUUUAUAAUGUAUGAAUUAUUAGCUUACAAUGUAUUAUAUUUUAAUACUUAAUAUAUAGAAUCAGAACUCGGCUUUUUUCUCCAACUGUUUAUUAAAAACAUAGCUUUGAGAUUUAUUCAAAGUAUCUUCUGCCCACUGAUACAAUUUAAUGGCCGCAGUACCCUGACUGUGCUAAGGUAGCGUGAUUCUUGUUUUCUUAAUUAGAAAUCUGUUCAAAGAAUGAAAUGGAGAGAAUCUAUUGUUUCUAUAACAAGUGAAUUUAAAAUGUUAGUGAAAAUUCUGACAAGUCCUUAAAAGACGAGAAGACCCCAUAAAACUUAAUUUGAUCUCUUUCUUAAGAGUUUAAAAUUUAAAUGGGGACUUUAGAGUAUAAUAAUAACUCAAAGACCUAUAUUUAUAUUAUUAGCGAAGCUACUUUGGGGAUAACAGGGUAAAAUAUUUAGAGAGUUCAUAUCGAUAAAUAUAUCUACUACCUCGAUGUUGGAUUAUCUUUUCAUAUAUAUUGUAGCAGUAUAUAUUGUUAGUCUGUUCGACUAUUAAAAAGUUACAUGAUCUGAGUUUAAACCGUUGUGAGACAGGUUGGAUUUUAUCUUUAUCUUAUAUUUUAAUACGUUAGUACGAAAGGAAUUCAUAUUGGUAAUGAUUACU